RNAcentral lists this ribosomal RNA (253 nucleotides) under uncultured bacterium. RNAcentral's name for it is "partial 16S ribosomal RNA". It matches the Rfam family "Bacterial small subunit ribosomal RNA", at positions 524 to 776 of the family's 1533-position model. The record is from RNAcentral.
UACGUAGGGAGCAAGCGUUGUCCGGAAUCAUUGGGCGGAAAGCGCGCGUAGGUGGCCUCAUAAGUCCGUUGUGAAAGUCAAAGGCUCAACCUUUGAAAGCCGAUGGAUACUGUGAGACUAGAGUACGGAAGAGGCGAGUGGAAUUCCUGGUGUAGCGGUGGAAUGCGCAGAUAUCAGGAGGAACACCAAUAGCGAAGGCAGCUCGCUGGGACGUUACUGACACUGAGGCGCGAAAGCGUGGGGAGCGAACAGG